This 253-nucleotide ribosomal RNA is filed under the name uncultured bacterium. RNAcentral's name for it is "partial 16S ribosomal RNA". It matches the Rfam family "Bacterial small subunit ribosomal RNA", at positions 524 to 776 of the family's 1533-position model. The record is from RNAcentral.
UACGAGAGGCCCAAACAUUAUUCGGAAUUACUGGGCUUAAAGAGUUCGUAGGCGGCAUAGUAAGUAGGGUGUGAAAUCCCUCGGCUCAACCGAGGAAUUGCGCUCUAAACUACCGUGCUAGAGGAAGCUAGAGGUGAGCGGAACUGAUGGUGGAGCGGUGAAAUGCGUUGAUAUCAUCAGGAACACCGGAGGCGAAGGCGGCUCACUGGGGCUUUUCUGACGCUGAGGAACGAAAGCCAGGGUAGCGAACGGG